Molecule: long non-coding RNA, 1530 nt
Organism: Brassica napus (rape)
Lineage: Eukaryota; Viridiplantae; Streptophyta; Magnoliopsida; Brassicales; Brassicaceae
Exons: 2
Source: RefSeq, a predicted model, not a curated record
CAUAUAUAUGAAAAAUGUAUUUAUACUAAUAAAAAAGAGCUUUUGAGGUUCCAUAAAGCAUCCACAUCAGCGGAAAAAAAUUUCUUCUAAAAGAUGACACGUGGCAUUAAUAAAAAAUAAAAAAUAAAUCUAUAUAUAUAAAGAAGUGUUUCUAUCCUUCCUAGGCCAUCCACGUCAUCCGCCAGCUAGGAAAGUCGAGCAAGCAGACGGCACCACGUGUCCAUGUAACUAAAGUUUUCAGUUUCAUUUAAUCUAGGCGUGAUGGGCUUAGAUGUUUAUGUGGGAAUGGGCUUAAGACUUGGUAUCCUCUAACCCUAAUUCAUCCGCAAAGGCUCUCCUCUUCCUGCGACGAAAACGCGAUGCCUUUUGUGAUUCUUCUCACCAUUUUGAACGGUCUGCGUAAAGGCUUCGUGAUUAAUAACAUUGAUUCGCUCUCCCACUACGUCGUCAUCAAUGCUUUUUUAUAUCUAAUAGGCGGUGAUCUCUGUAUAAAUAUGUGUGAGUAGUCCUCUCCUUGAUCUCAUCUUAUCUUCGUAACGCUUAUAUCUCAUUCUGAUUACAGUGAGCUCCGGUGGAUUGAAAUGGCAGGUGGAUUGCUUAGUUAGCUUCUUGAGUAGUGAAGAUUGAGCGGCGAGGAAAGCAGCAGCCGAAGCCUUAGGGAGGUUAUCCACGGCGGAAAGAAAUGAUUUUUGAGAAAGUCUUUGAAGAUCUUCAAAAGCAAGAUAUACGACAAGGUUUGGUUUUAGUGUCUGAAUGUAGGUUUUGUUCUGCUCCAGCAUGAUUACAAGUUUCAAUUGUGGAUACAUGUUCAGGUGAAAACUGUGAGAGAAGUGAUGAACCAGAUGAUGGAGGCAUGGAAACAAGUCUGAGAUUUAUCAGAAGAGGUUUCUCAGCCAAGAUCUAAUGUUUCUUCUAAAGGUAUCUUUCCUCCGUUAGAUCUUUAGCCAAAAUUAGGAAACUAUUUGUUUAGUGCCUACUAUUCUUGGUUAAUUUCCUUUGUGUCUAUGAGAAGAACUGAUCACUGUAUAAACAACCAUCGAUUAAUCUGCCCCUUAAUUUUGUCUUCAGAACUGAAAAAUAAGGGUUUUUGUUCAGCACUGGAUAUGAAAGGUCUUUAAAAGCAUUAAGUGUUUAAGGCAGGGGAAGAAGAUUUUGGACGAGAGAUGGAUCAGUUUGAAGCAUAACGCCAAGCUGAGUUUGAGCUUCUUCAGAUUGGUCAAGAACAAGAGGGUAUCUAUUCCAAGCUCAUGAGAAGAGGGCCUUCGCUAUUUGGUUUACUAAGCUUACCAAGUUCGUCUCAGCAGGGUCCGUGAAUACAACACUGACUGAGUUGUUUAGGUUCAGUAGUUGAAGAACUCUGGCAAGUGGCAACUACAAAAUAAAUUUUUUUUUUUUCAUUAUUGAUCUGUAACAGACGAAAGAAACUCGCCAUUAGAGUAACAAAGAAAAGUGUACUUAUGUUAAAAAUUCUAUGUUACGGCUUUAAAUAUGUUUUGUUUAUGUCAUAAUGAAACUUGUGGUUAGUAGGUU